Eubacterium coprostanoligenes is the source of this 195-nucleotide non-coding RNA. Lineage: Bacteria; Bacillati; Bacillota; Clostridia; Eubacteriales; Eubacteriaceae. The record is from Rfam.
AGUUUUAAGAGUUUGAUCCUGGCUCAGGACGAACGCUGGCGGCGUGCCUAACACAUGCAAGUCGAACGAAGCUUGACGAAUGAUUACUUCGGUAUGAAUUCUGAUAUGACUGAGUGGCGGACGGGUGAGUAACGCGUGAGCAACCUGCCCUUCAGAGGGGGAUAGCGUCUGGAAACGGACGGUAAUACCGCAUAA